UCUGCACUCCUACGGGAGGCAGCAGUGGGGAAUAUUGCACAAUGGGCGCAAGCCUGAUGCAGCCAUGCCGCGUGUAUGAAGAAGGCCUUCGGGUUGUAAAGUACUUUCAGCAGUGAGGAAGGUGGGUAUGUUAAUAGCAUAUUCAUUUGACGUUAGCUGCAGAAGAAGCACCGGCUAACUCCGUGCCAGCAGCCGCGGUAAUACGGAGGGUGCGAGCGUUAAUCGGAAUUACUGGGCGUAAAGCGCAUGCAGGUGGUUUGUUAAGUCAGAUGUGAAAGCCCGGGGCUCAACCUCGGAAUUGCAUUUGAAACUGGCAAACUAGAGUACUGUAGAGGGGGUAGAAUUUCAGGUGUAGCGGUGAAAUGCGUAGAGAUCUGAAGGAAUACCGGUGGCGAAGGCGGCCCCCUGGACAGAUACUGACACUCAGAUGCGAAAGCGUGGGGAGCAAACAGGAUUAGAUACCCUGGUAG
RNAcentral lists this ribosomal RNA (470 nucleotides) under uncultured bacterium. RNAcentral describes it as "bacterial SSU rRNA". It matches the Rfam family "Bacterial small subunit ribosomal RNA", at positions 330 to 793 of the family's 1533-position model. The record is from RNAcentral.